Molecule: transfer RNA, 35 nt
Filed under: Dianthus superbus
Lineage: Eukaryota; Viridiplantae; Streptophyta; Magnoliopsida; Caryophyllales; Caryophyllaceae
Also listed under: 2 other names
Description: partial tRNA-Leu
Source: RNAcentral
AAAAUCCGUCGACUUUAAAAUCAUGAGGGUUCAAG